RNAcentral lists this ribosomal RNA (510 nucleotides) under Acaulospora sp. Acau5. RNAcentral describes it as "SSU rRNA". It matches the Rfam family "Eukaryotic small subunit ribosomal RNA", at positions 569 to 1078 of the family's 1831-position model. Lineage: Eukaryota; Fungi; Glomeromycota; Glomeromycetes; Diversisporales; Acaulosporaceae. The record is from RNAcentral.
AGCAGCCGCGGUAAUUCCAGCUCCAAUAGCGUAUAUUAAAGUUGUUGCAGUUAAAACGCUCGUAGUUGAAUUUCGGAGUUUGUCGGUUGGUCGGGCUUCACUGUCCGCACUGGCCUGAUAGAUUCCUACCUUCUGAAUAACCAACAUGCUAUUAAUUUAGUGCGUUGGGGAAGCAGAGCUAUUACCUUGAAAAAAUUAGAGUGCUUAAAGCAGGCUUAUGCUUGAAUAGAUUAGCAUGGAAUAAUAAAAUAGGACGGCUUGGUUCUAUUUUGUUGGUUUCUAGGAUCACCGUAAUGAUUAAUAGGGAUAGUUGGGGGCAUUAGUAUUCAAUUGUCAGAGGUGAAAUUCUUGGAUUUAUUGAAGACUAACUUCUGCGAAAGCAUUUGCCAAGGAUGUUUUCAUUAAUCAAGAACGAAAGUUAGGGGAUCGAAGACGAUCAGAUACCGUCGUAGUCUUAACCAUAAACUAUGCCGACUAGGGAUCGGACGAUGUUAAUUUUUUAAUGACUCG